Molecule: transfer RNA, 65 nt
Filed under: Aleeta curvicosta
Lineage: Eukaryota; Metazoa; Arthropoda; Insecta; Hemiptera; Cicadidae
Description: tRNA-Trp
Source: RNAcentral
AAGGUUUUAAGUUAAUAAAACUGUUAUCCUUCAAAGUUAAAAAUAUAAUUUUUUUGUAAGCCUUA